This is a long non-coding RNA of Capsicum annuum, 501 nucleotides long. RefSeq lists it as uncharacterized. Lineage: Eukaryota; Viridiplantae; Streptophyta; Magnoliopsida; Solanales; Solanaceae. The record is from RefSeq and is a predicted model, not a curated record. The transcript is spliced from 2 exons.
UAGAUAUUUCUUUUUCAAAAGGCAACCAAAGUACUUUUAUGCAUGUACUGCUUUAUAUGUAAUCGGUAGCCAAGGUUUUGGGCGAAAAUAUUACCAUUGGAACAUCAAGCAAAAAUAUAAGUUAAUUAUUCGAAUUAAUUAUUUAAAUUCGGGUACUAGUGGGAUAUUAUUCGGAGGUUUUAGGGCAGAUAUUCUAUCUUUGGCGUUCAGAUCCAGGUACUAACGGUCGACGUUGAUGCGGUUUCUACCUUUCAGUGCUGAUUUAGAGCGGGGUGAGCUUACUGUCGUUCGAAGCUGAUCCUCCUCUAUCUAUUCUAGUUAGUCUUUUUCAUUCGAGACUACUUUUGUACAUUUUAGAUUUUUGUCAAGUACUCUGACUACCUGUUAGUAGUGACUCUAGUACUGAUCUUAUCAGGUCUUGGGAGGAAUUAAUUUGUAUAAUUGGUCCUUUUUCCUCCUUUCGUUUUUGAUAUAAUACAUAUGCUUUCUUCUUAGUUUUUA